This 253-nucleotide ribosomal RNA is filed under the name uncultured bacterium. RNAcentral's name for it is "partial 16S ribosomal RNA". It matches the Rfam family "Bacterial small subunit ribosomal RNA", at positions 524 to 776 of the family's 1533-position model. The record is from RNAcentral.
UACGAAAGGUGCAAGCGUUACUCGGAAUUACUGGGCGUAAAGCGUGCGUAGGUGGUUCGUUAAGUCUGAUGUGAAAGCCCUGGGCUCAACCUGGGAAUGGCAUUGGAUACUGGCGACCUAGAGUGCGGUAGAGGGGUGUGGAAUUCCCGGUGUAGCAGUGAAAUGCGUAGAUAUCGGGAGGAACAUCUGUGGCGAAGGCGACACCCUGGACCAGCACUGACACUGAGGCACGAAAGCGUGGGGAGCAAACAGG